AGAAUCUGAAUUUUACAGGGAAAAUACCAUCUCUUUGUUGUUUGUGAUCAAAUAAUAAUAGCGAUUCUUGGAAUGUGAGAAUAAGCAACAAUUGAUUUCCUAAUUUUGCUUAAACAACAUGGAAUUUCUAAUAUUACCUUCAACAAGAUAAGUUAAGAUGGUUUCCAAUAUCCAUUUUGUCCCAUGAGUUUGAUGUUGUUUGGAAGUUUGUCUAAAUUCUUCAAAACUUCAUCAACUUAUACUGAUGUGAAAUUUCCUUACUCUUAAUUCUGGCUUGGAAGGGUACCAUAUCAAUGUGGAUGGAAAACAUAUGACCUCAUUUCCAUACCACCCUGUAAGUUACAACUAUUGAGGAUCUAUGGUCUUGUGAUAUAUGGGACUUGCUCUAGUGUUCAAAUAAUGUUAUAGGGAUUCACACUUCAAGAUUCCACUGGUUUAUCUUUUAUGGGAGACAUUAAUGUCCACUCUUGUUUUCGCUGCUUCCUUGUCCACACCACACCCCAAUUUUGCACCUCAACAGAAUCUUCAUUGGUCUAACAGAUGGAAGGCUCCACCUAUUCUAGAAAGGGCUGUUAAACUGAUCCUUGGUAUUCUUUCAACGGGCAACAACUUUGCUGAACGUAUGGCUAUCAAGAAGUCUUGGAUGCAGUACAAGCUAAUAAAAUCUUCAAAUACUAUUGCUUAUUUCUUUGUUGCGCUGAUAGGUGAACCAAUUAAUAGCAUGCAUGCCACAAAUGUAACCUCUUUUAAUUCUUUUGUUGAAAGCUUCUGAAAUUUAUUCAAAAGAAUUUCUUUUGACAGCAUGCAAGAAAUGAAGUGAGUAUGGUGUUAAAUAAAGAAAUUGACUUUUUCAGAGACAUUGUGAUAGCACCAUACAUGCAUAACUAUGACUAAAGAAAAUUGCAAUAUGUAAAUAUGGGGUUAGUUGUGGAUUCAUUGAUAAAUUAAGGGUUGAUAUUAUGUUUGUACUCGAUUGAUUUUAUUUUGUACUUUAGCAGUUUAGAAGAGCUUUUGCAAAGUAUAUCACGAAAAUUGAUGACACAAGAAACAACUUGAGACCAAGAGCUUGUACAUUGGUUUUCUAAAUUAUUACCUUAAGCCUAUGCAAGGUUGUCAAUGGACAGUGACGUAUGAGGUACUAUUACAAACUUUUGACUUUUCAAUCUUUACAGUUGAUUUACUUGUUUUAUUUGUCGGUAUACAUCUUAUGUGCCUUGUGGUCAAUGCCAUUGCAAUUUAGGGUACUAAUUUAUUACUUGAGCACGAUGGUCUAUAAACCCUAAAUAUUGUUUCAUUUUAAUAUUCUUAUUCAUAUUUACUAACCCAUUCCAUUAGUUAACUCAAUGGUGAUAUUGAGUCCAAUUUUAAUACAUUUUAAUAAAGAGUCAAUCUCCUACAAAGCUUUGUGUAUUUAUCAUACUAUUGAAUCCCACUUGAUGCCAUUAGCAUAAUUAAUGGCAUCGAGUAGACUUGUGUGCAACUUGUGUUGUUUGCAAAACCAACAAGGGAAACUUAGUUUGCAGGAGUCCGGCAAAACUAUCGGGGAAAAGGAUUUUUUCAUUUUCUUACUAUUUUAUAUCCCCUCUUCAAGUACUUUAUGAUUUUGAUAGAGAUUUUUGCACUUCUAUAAUAAAAUGAUCCUGCAAAUUCAAAUUCUUUAGCAUUAGUUGCCUUAUAUAAACAUCAUUUAAAGAUAUCUUUUAGUGUCAUUUAUUUAGACUUUCUGUUGACCAUUGUGAACUCUAUUGUGAUUGAACUGGUCAACUAGAGCCUAUAUGGGAACUUGGAAUAUUUUUGAGAAAUGGAGCAAAUAAUAUGACUACUAUAUUUAGGAGCAAAAGGUUUUGCAUUGGAGUUUUUUUUUUGCCAUACUAGGAGUAACUCUUUUGACUAAAUAUAAAGUUAAAUGUCGUUAUUAUGUAGUUAUUCUUUUGGUCUUGGAAACACAUUAAGAGGAUGUUUGUCUAUGCCUAAAGAAAAACAAUUUUUUGGCUCAAGCAUGUUUGACUCAUUAUUUAUUUUGGGAGUGUGGCUCAUUAUUAUUUCAGGUUUGGAAUUUGUUUGGUACCGUUCAUUGUUAUAAAAGAAAAAGAAAUAGAGGAAGCCAUUUGCCAUAAUCUGCUAGGUAAUUCAAAAAUAAAGUCCACGGUAGCUACUUGGUCUUCUUCCUUCAAAUAUAUACUUACAAAUAACUCAGCCAAAGUAAUAGGAAUUAGUAAUUAAGCAAGGGUCCAAACGAUGCGCAGAAAUUGUAAUCACCGAAUGUAAUCACAGUGAAGAGUGAUAUUCUUCAGUCUUGAAAUCCUAUAGGUAACACAUGAGUAGUCAGUGUAGAGCGUGUGAGUUCUAACAAAAAGCUUGCUUAUUUGAGUAUCACUUUGACAUCCUUUUUCUUUAGAGCGAGGAAGAUUAAAAUGGAUGGUGCACAUCGUAGCAGUGGCCACCAAAGCACCAGAGGAGAAAAGCUCUGGUAAGAUUAGCAUUCUUCUUCGUAUGCUUAUAUGGGCUGAUCUCAGUAUUUUGUGUGAAAAUGUUGUCUGCUUCUAGACAGAAGCAUAAAGUUUAGAAACACUUGAACACACUAAAUAAACCUCCAGUCAAAAUCAUUCGGAUCUCUCCCUCUCUCUGUAUAUUUAUUUGUAUGUAUACAUAAAUUAUUGAAUUUCAUAUGGUCUUUUUUUCGAUUUAUCCUUAUUCUUUGUUAUGAUUUUGUGAAUAUCAUGUUAAGAAUAAGAAGAUUUUGUGUUUAUUUUUUAGGUUUUUGAGCGACAA
Molecule: long non-coding RNA, 2772 nt
Filed under: Olea europaea subsp. europaea
Lineage: Eukaryota; Viridiplantae; Streptophyta; Magnoliopsida; Lamiales; Oleaceae
Source: RNAcentral